ACGAACGCUGGCGGCAUGCCUAACACAUGCAAGUCGAACGAGACCUUCGGGUCUAGUGGCGCACGGGUGCGUAACGCGUGGGAACCUGCCCUUAGGUUCGGAAUAACUCCCCGAAAGGGGAGCUAAUACCGGAUAAUGUCUUCGGACCAAAGAUUUAUCGCCUUUGGAUGGGCCCGCGUUGGAUUAGCUAGUUGGUAGGGUAAAAGCCUACCAAGGCGACGAUCCAUAGCUGGUCUGAGAGGAUGAUCAGCCACACUGGGACUGAGACACGGCCCAGACUCCUACGGGAGGCAGCAGUGGGGAAUAUUGGACGAUGGGCGAAAGCCUGAUCCAGCAAUGCCGCGUGAGUGAUGAAGGCCUUAGGGUUGUAAAGCUCUUUUACCCGGGAUGAUAAUGACAGUACCGGGAGAAUAAGCUCCGGCUAACUCCGUG
Molecule: ribosomal RNA, 432 nt
Filed under: uncultured bacterium
Lineage: Bacteria
Description: partial 16S ribosomal RNA
Rfam family: Bacterial small subunit ribosomal RNA
Source: RNAcentral